Long non-coding RNA from Uranotaenia lowii, 1619 nucleotides. RefSeq lists it as uncharacterized. The record is from RefSeq and is a predicted model, not a curated record. Lineage: Eukaryota; Metazoa; Arthropoda; Insecta; Diptera; Culicidae. The transcript is spliced from 3 exons.
ACGUUUAGCAGUUCACAGCGAUCGAAAAACUCGGUUCUGUGGAUUACUGUGAUCGAAAUUUUCAUUUUCAAUCGGUGGACAGACAGCAGGACAGGAAUAAGGUGUCGUUUCUUCCUUCCAAUUACCCUUAGAUUGUGUGAACUUGGGAAAAUGUGUUACUUCUGGUGUCAUCGGAGUGAAAUUUCGGAUUCGAACAGGCAUUUGGAAUCUGUUUAGACGAGCUUGAUGGUAUUUUACAAGUUUCGUAAAAUGUUCGUGACUGUUCAAAGUUUGAUGUUCUAAUCGUUUACAUGGAAUAAUCGAUCAAAUCAUGCUAAUAUGUGAUACGAAAAAAGUGUGCAUACAAGCUUUAUUUUUAGCUUGCCAGAAUUGAUAUUAGAUCAAUAAUUUGUAUCUAUUGCGACCCUACCAUGUAUGGGUAGGUGAAAGGGUGCAUUUGUCCAUUUGCAAAAGAAGAAAAGUUUUUUUUUUCAAACCAGCAAGAAGCUCAAGUGUUGAAAGGAAAAGCAAAUGUCAAAUGACAUAAUUCCAAUUUUUCUCCCUUUAUCAACUGCUGCCCAACUGUAGCCCCAAUCGGAGUUAUUUUUCUGGUGCAAGUGUAUGAGUGUGCGUUCCGAUACACCGAAUGGUGGAGCAGCCAUCGGUCCGUGAUAUCCUUUUCGGGUGACAAACUGAAAGAAAAAUUUUGUGCGACAAAAAGAACGGUGUGCGAAGUCGAGAAAUUCAAUCUGAAAUACAAAAUUGGAUUAUAUUUGGAGAAGUAUCAUACACAAGAAAAACCUGUCAUCACAUACUUUGCCAUUCACGAGCUGGACACGUUCCCCGUAUGAAUUCCAAUCCUUCGGGCAAGAAAACCAAUUACCAUAUAAUGUCCGGUUUCGAGGGUCCGGGGACAGCCAACUAGACGUGAGGUUCGAGUGUCACCACAGAGCUUAUCAAUAAUUCGCUCGCAUCACGUUCGCUAUGACGAGCUCACUCAUCGGCCGGUCUACCCACAUCCGUUAACAUCUCCGGUGGAAUUUUCUGAACAGUUGCCAAGUUUCGUUUAUCCUGGCGUCGACAGCGACAUUUUGACAUUGUACUGUAAACAUCUGAAGCUACUAAAAAAAUAGUACUGGAAUUGUGACAAAGUGCAUCGCGAUAUCGAGAUAUUCCGUUUCGAAUGAAGAUUAUAACUGACGAAGAAUGUGCACCGAAAAUUUGACCCAUUCGGGGUUGACACCACCAGUGGAAUGUGUUGAGUGUUGAGGCUGCCGGUGGCGUACAGGUGGCAGUAGUGGAUUAUUUAUAACGUUGUUUGUUUAUCGGUUGAGAGAGCGUCUGUGUGCGCGAUACUAGCGACAUCAGUCAGUCGAACAACAUGCAUCUGCACUUCGAGAAAAGCACCAACACCAAAUGCGACUGCUCGAUUCUGUCGCUCUCAUGGAUGGGCAAAGUGCCGGACGAUAUUCCAGAGGAGGAGGGCUGGAAGCUUAAUCGUACCAAUUACUACCAGGAGGGUUGGCUGGCGACGGGAAAUGUCCGAGGAAUCGUGGGUGUCACCUUCACCACAUCCCACUGCAAGAAGAACGUCGAGUAUCCGCUGAGAACGAACUACAACCUUCGGGGCCAUCGGUCCG